Pan paniscus (pygmy chimpanzee) is the source of this 1014-nucleotide long non-coding RNA. The record is from Ensembl. NCBI's taxonomy places the organism in Eukaryota, Metazoa, Chordata, Mammalia, Primates, Hominidae.
GAAUAAUCCAAAUGUUCAAAUAACUCCAAAUUUUUUAAUGUUGUCAGUAAGUUCAAAUUAGAAGACUCACACAGCAUGGCUCACACAGCAUAGGGCAAACAUCAUAUCUGCAGGCUGAAUAUUGUCUUGGUGUCACCAAUUUGUAAAUCUCUGGUUAGAAUAUUUGUGCUGAAAGACACUUUAAGUAAUACCUAGCUCAUGCUUACCAUUUCACAGAUUAGGAAGUAGGGCCCUAUGAGGGAAAAGAACUUAGAACAAUUGCAGACCUUCAGUUACUUCAGUUGCAGACCUUCAGUUACUUCAGUUGCAGACCUAGGACACCAAGGGGCCAAAUCCAAUUCUUAUACCAGAUUCCCUUUUACCACCAGGCUACCUGUCAUGGCAAUGGUUUGGCAAGAUAUCUGUCUAUAUUAAAUGAAUGCUCUUUGGGGAAGUGUAUUUGAUUGCUAAAGUGGGAUGGUUGGGAGAAUUAUACCAACAUAGAAAGGAAAAUUUGUUGCUCUUAAAUGACAGACCUUGAGAGCUUCCCUAAACCCCAGUGUUAAAUGACACCUCAUUGGCUAUGGUAAUGGUGUCCACAAGCAACAUUCCCUACCAGGAGGCUGAUGCAGAUCCAGUGGCGAAACAUCUUGGAAGGUUAGACAAGAUAUCAAGGCAUGAAACUCCCAAGUACUGCAUCAUUGACAACUGAAAUUGCCUAAGUGUGAGAUCAUACUUCUGCCUGAAAACUUGCAAGAAUAUCUUUGGCAUGAGUGUCAGUGGGAUGACCAGAUAAAAUGGAGCCAAUGAGAUCAGAAAAUGAUCAAAAUUUGGCAAAAUGGGAAGCAAGAAGCAAUUUGCAAACAGGGAAAUCAAACAGUGCCACAUCAAAAUAAGAGGGAAGGAAAUCCAGCAGCUAAGCAGGCCACACAGUUCCCAGACAGAGGUAAACUUCUUUUCUGGCUGAAGCCCUGGUUACGGGAAACAGUGUCUUCUGAAACGACCAGUUUUGUGCAAAGUAUGAUGCGUGAAUAA